GUCCACGCCGUAACGAUGGAUACUAGCUGUUCGGAGCAAUCUGAGUGGCUAAGCGAAGUGAUAAGUAUCCCACCUGGGAGUACGUUCGCAAGAAUGAACUCAAGGAAUUGACGGGCCCGGCACAAGCGGUGGAGCAUGUGGUUUAAUUCGAUGAUACGCGAGGAACCUUACCAAGGCUUAAAUGGGAACGACAGGUUUGGAACAGACUUUUCUUCGGACGUUUUCUAAGGUGCUGCAUGGUUGUCGU
RNAcentral lists this ribosomal RNA (247 nucleotides) under uncultured bacterium. RNAcentral's name for it is "partial 16S ribosomal RNA". It matches the Rfam family "Bacterial small subunit ribosomal RNA", at positions 793 to 1055 of the family's 1533-position model. The record is from RNAcentral.